AAGUCGUAACAAGGUUUCCGUAGGUGAACCUGCGGAAGGAUCAUUAAUACGUUUGAAAAAAACGUUUUAAACUCCAAAAUUUUAAUAGUGGAAAUAUAACUUCCGGAUGCAUUUGUAGGGAGGGGAAGAUUAGACCUUAAAAAGUCUGGUUUUCUCCUUCUUGAAAAGGAAACUUCAUGCACUUUAUUGUGUGUGACACUUCAGAGUAGAGCAGUGAGGUGAAAACUUCGGUUUUGGUUUCUGAAAUACAUCUGUAUCCGGUUAUUUUCUGUUCUACAACCCCUUUUAUAAAACAACAAACCCCAUGUACAACAACUUGAACUGAACAAAUUUUGUUUUCUCCUUUGUGAGGAAAUGAAGUAAAUCUGAACUUAAGAACAACUCUUAACAACGGAUAUCUUGGUUCUC
RNAcentral lists this unclassified non-coding RNA (408 nucleotides) under fungal sp. RNAcentral's name for it is "partial internal transcribed spacer region". The stretch from base 1 to 46 matches the Rfam family "Eukaryotic small subunit ribosomal RNA", at positions 1786 to 1831 of the family's 1831-position model. The record is from RNAcentral. Lineage: Eukaryota; Fungi.